This 465-nucleotide ribosomal RNA is filed under the name Vreelandella stevensii. RNAcentral's name for it is "partial 16S ribosomal RNA". It matches the Rfam family "Bacterial small subunit ribosomal RNA", at positions 338 to 795 of the family's 1533-position model. The record is from RNAcentral. Lineage: Bacteria; Pseudomonadati; Pseudomonadota; Gammaproteobacteria; Oceanospirillales; Halomonadaceae.
CCUACGGGGGGCUGCAGUGGGGAAUAUUGGACAAUGGGGGCAACCCUGAUCCAGCCAUGCCGCGUGUGUGAAGAAGGCCCUCGGGUUGUAAAGCACUUUCAGUGAGGAAGAACGCCUGGUGGUUAAUACCCAUCAGGAAAGACAUCACUCACAGAAGAAGCACCGGCUAACUCCGUGCCAGCAGCCGCGGUAAUACGGAGGGUGCGAGCGUUAAUCGGAAUUACUGGGCGUAAAGCGCGCGUAGGUGGCUUGAUAAGCCGGUUGUGAAAGCCCCGGGCUCAACCUGGGAACGGCAUCCGGAACUGUCAAGCUAGAGUGCAGGAGAGGAAGGUAGAAUUCCCGGUGUAGCGGUGAAAUGCGUAGAGAUCGGGAGGAAUACCAGUGGCGAAGGCGGCCUUCUGGAAUGACACUGACACUGAGGUGCGAAAGCGUGGGUAGCAAACAGGAUUAGAUACCCCUGUAGUC